This is a long non-coding RNA of Macrobrachium nipponense, 864 nucleotides long. RefSeq lists it as uncharacterized. The record is from RefSeq and is a predicted model, not a curated record. Lineage: Eukaryota; Metazoa; Arthropoda; Malacostraca; Decapoda; Palaemonidae. The transcript is spliced from 4 exons.
UUCGCGAGAGGUAGGCGCUAUAACCUGGACUCACUAGUUACGCGAGGGGGAGGAGGAAGAAGGGAAAGCGGACGACCUCUUCUCUUAACGGCGCCAUGAAGACUACUGUUGUUGUUGUUGUCAUUGUUCCCAAUUUUCUUCUUCUUCUUCUUCUUCUUGGUACUUCUGGUUUGGCAUCGGCUGCUCCUCCUGCAUCGAAGGGAUACACUAAAUAUUGCAGCGACCUGUCUCCCAGCGAGUGUCGGUUCAGAGGUCAGAGAUGCUUCAAGGUCUUGAAGCCUUUGAUGAGCUCCCUAACGGAGCGCGAUUUCAUCCAAGAUUGUGCUGACAAGUUCAACAUUACCGGAAAUAAGCUUGAGCAAUUCAGGACAGCUCUAGCCAUCAGCUUCAGAGACGGCGGCGGCUACAUCAUAGACGAGAUGUCUAAAGAAGACCUCGCUCUCUUCUUGCCGUUUCAGAAUUGUACUUACACAAUGGAUGGGCUUCUCACAGAGACCGGUAUAAACUUCAAGAGAAUGAGAGGCAUCUUCAGCCACAACAUUCUCCAAAUCAUGGCCGAUGCAUCGCCCGAGUUUCGAACAGUCAUGGUGGAAGCAUUGAAUUCUUGCCCGGAUUCUUCCCUAGAAGAGAAUCUCCCAGACUGCCUCUUACCGCCCUGCAUGGCAUUCUCCAUCAAUGAAAAGAACAACACUUUAACAACAGUGGGAAACCAAACAUCGACUUCAUGAUCUUUGAAGCUCAGUGAUAAACAUAGUUUCUAAUUUUCACUUUUUUUGUUAUAAUCAUGUUAUUUACUUCAUGUUUUAUUGUGUAGCGUGUGUCAAUGUUGUUACCGUUUAAUUAAAGUAUGGUUAUUCCAUCUUA